Molecule: ribosomal RNA, 253 nt
Filed under: uncultured bacterium
Lineage: Bacteria
Description: partial 16S ribosomal RNA
Rfam family: Bacterial small subunit ribosomal RNA
Source: RNAcentral
UACGGAGGGUGCGAGCGUUGUCCGGAAUCAUUGGGCGUAAAGGGCGCGUAGGUGGCCCGGUCAGUUCGUGGUGAAAGCCCCGGGCUCAACCCGGGAAGUGCACUCGAUACUGCGAGGCUAGAGUACUGGAGAGGUGGGUGGAAUUCUCGGUGUAGAGGUGAAAUUCGUAGAUAUCGAGAGGAACACCGGCGGCGAAGGCGGCCCACUGGACAGAUACUGACGCUGAGACUCGAAAGCGUGGGGAGCAAACAGG